UUCUAACCCCGAAACUGGACGAGCUAAUCUCCCCUUCUUUUCAGAAGAAUAAACUCACUGUUGCAAUAGUGGGGAAAAAGGGGAGAUUAGAUGUGAAAUGCUAACCGCGCCCAGAGAUAGCUGGUUUCCCAAAAGAUUAGUUUGAGCUAAGCCUUUACAAGAAAAAUAAAACUCCUUUAACAAUAUAAAAAGAAUCUUUUAAUUUUUAAAUAGAGGUUAGGGCUUUAAGGAUAAGCUUAAAGCCCACAAUGGAAAAUUCCAACAUUGAUAGUUAAAGACAACAAGCCCCCAAAAUAGUUAUUCUCGAAAGAAUAGGCCUAGAAGCAGCCACUUAACAAGAAAGCGUUAAAGCUCAAUUGUUCUUGCUAACUAAAAAAUUUUUGGUGAACAUCUCUAAAACUACAAAAAUUUAUUGGGACAUUCUAUAAUAAGAAGAGACAAUGUUAAUAUGAGUAAGAAAGCUUCACCUGCGUUUUAUGCGCUUUUAACCUUGAAAGAAAAAACAUUGAAACUAAAAAUUCUG
This 523-nucleotide ribosomal RNA is filed under the name Mesocentrotus nudus. Its description in RNAcentral is "partial 16S rRNA". The stretch from base 1 to 443 matches the Rfam family "Bacterial large subunit ribosomal RNA", at positions 707 to 1296 of the family's 2925-position model. Lineage: Eukaryota; Metazoa; Echinodermata; Echinoidea; Camarodonta; Strongylocentrotidae. The record is from RNAcentral.